UUAACACAAUUUGUAUGGGGUUGGAACGUUUGCCUACGUUUACCGCUAGGGGCGCUGUUCCAACUGCAUACAAAUUUGAGUAA
RNAcentral lists this microRNA precursor (83 nucleotides) under Bombyx mori (domestic silkworm). RNAcentral describes it as "mir-2807 microRNA precursor family". It matches the Rfam family "mir-2807 microRNA precursor family". Lineage: Eukaryota; Metazoa; Arthropoda; Insecta; Lepidoptera; Bombycidae. The record is from Rfam by way of RNAcentral.